This is a long non-coding RNA of Gadus morhua (Atlantic cod), 1989 nucleotides long. RefSeq lists it as uncharacterized. The record is from RefSeq and is a predicted model, not a curated record. The transcript has 4 exons. NCBI's taxonomy places the organism in Eukaryota, Metazoa, Chordata, Actinopteri, Gadiformes, Gadidae.
UCCAACUCAACUGUGUUGGGAGAGUUUCACCUGGUAGUCUGGAAGGUAGUUUGCUCCAACGCAACUGUGUUGGGAGCGUUUCACCUGGUAGCCUGGAAGCUAGUUUGCUCCAACGCAACGGUGUUGUGAGCGUUUCACCUGGUAGCUUGGAAGGUCGUUUUCUCCAACGCCACUGUGUUGGUAGCGUUUCACCUGGUAGACUGGAAGGCAGUUCUCUCCAACACAACUGUGUUGGGAGCGUUUCGCCUGGUAGCUAACCUGUGUGUUGUAUUUAUUCAUAUUACUUAAUUGUCUAGCAUCUGCAUUAGCUAGCUAUAGCUGCUGUAUACGGGGAAUGGGUUAGCCUAGCGAUUUUUAGUACUUGCACUUGGUCCUAUGAACAUCAACACCGGCAGAUUCAGAUUUGUAGUACUGCAAAUUUAAAUUUUUGACAAAUUUUCCAUUUCAAUAUUUUGUCAAAUUUCACAAAGUCCAUUCCAAGAUAUGUACGAACUUCAGCAAUGGAGGCAAGUAAGGUUUAUCACUUUCUAUGGCAAUUUACUUGAGUUAAAUUAUUUGCUCUAUAAAAACAUAUGGUUCUCACUGUACCAUAAUCAUCUUGCUAGAUAUACCUCAUGCUGUCCUUUAUAUUACUUAUUUGCAAGGAAUUUAAGCAUUGACAAUUAUUUAUGAACGUUGAACCAUGAAAGAAUUGAAUUAUUUUUGUUCAGGGGUAGGGUUUGCCCCUGAACAUUUAAUUUCAAGAUCAGUGUUCUACAGCGUUUGUCAAAUUCAGGACUGGCACUGGAUGCUGUAGGUGGAGGGAAGACCAGGAAUGGUGCAGCUCUGCAGAUGCUGAAGGUGUGCCAAAGGGUCACGUGUGUUCCUGAUGGGACUGAGGCGACGCAGUCGGAGGUCCCUGCGGUGGCGGUCAGCGGGAGGUGUCAAGACCAACCAGCUCCUCGUCCAGGAAAGGUCACGACGGAAGAGCAGAUGGCUGUGCAGUUGCCAUGGUGGAGAGACCCAGAGUAUGAUGACCGAACAGUUGAUCUACAACGAUGUCCUACUCCCCAUCCACCCUGAGGAUCCCUGGCUGCACCUACAAUCCAAUCUACCCCAGACAUAACCACUCGGAGCUCAACAACUCCUACAACUCCUCCUGCCUCCUACACACCAUACUGUUACCACUUUACCAUUUUAACUUUAAAAAAAAAAAGCACUGUAAUUCACACCAUGUUGUAGGAAAAGCAUGUUUAGCUCAAUGAUUUAUACAUUCUAUUUCUGUGACCCCAACUAUUGUAUUUCUAACCCAGUUACCUCUGAACCCUCUUUCUAAGGGAGCGACUAAAGGGACAAAGCUGGACCAAACCUGAGCUUAAAAAUCUUUUUAAUCUUUCUUUCAAAUGUCCUAAAUUGAAACGUAUAAAAUGCCUAAAGUAACUUGUCUAACAAAACAAAAAGCCAACCUAAUACCCAAACUUAACCAUCUAACCAAAGAUCUCAAAUGCCUAAACUCUCUUACCUUAACCGAGUACCUAAACCAAACCAUUUAACUAAACAUCUCAAAGGCAUAAACUCGCUUACCUCAACCUAACCUAAUACCCAAACUUAACCAUCUAACUGAAGAGCUCAAACACCUAAACUCUUACCUUAACCUAGUACCUAAACUGAACCAUCUAACUAAGCAUCUCUAAUAACUAAACUCUUUCCUAAUACCUAAACAAUCUUUAAUACAAUCACUAAUGCCUAAACUUAAACAAACACCAAUAAUAAAAGUUAACCAUCCUUAAUCUUAAACCCAAACCAGACUUGUCCCUGGGUCGCUCCACUUUGUUUCUUUAAAGGCAUCUCUUUUCCCCUGCAUCUGUGUUUUAUUCCUUGAGGACUCCAAGUACUUCAGAUGAUAUUUGAAAACUUGUUUAAUUAAUAAUGAGAUUAAUUUGGAGUGUGAAAAACAGAUGCGAAGUGAAGACCACUCUGUUUGUUGUGCUUUUCUUAUUACAUUAUACA